AGCGAACGCUGGCGGCAGGCUUAACACAUGCAAGUCGAACGCCCCGCAAGGGGUGUGGCAGACGGGUGAGUAACACGUGGGAACGUACCCUUUGGUUCGGAAUAACUUGGGGAAACUCAAGCUAAUACCGGCUAAGCCCUUCUGGGGAAAGGUUUACUGCCGAAGGAUCGGCCCGAGUCUGAUUAGCUAGUUGGUGAGGUAAUGGCUCACCAAGGCGACGAUCAGUAGCUGGUCUGAGAGGAUGAUCAGCCACACUGGGACUGAGACACGGCCCAGACUCCUACGGGAGGCAGCAGUGGGGAAUAUUGGACAAUGGGGGCAACCCUGAUCCAGCCAUGCCGCGUGAGUGAUGAAAGCCUUAGGGUUGUAAAGCUCUUUUACCCGGGACGAUAAUGACUGUACCGGGAGAAUAAGCCCCGGCUAACUUCGUGCCAGCCGCCGCCGUAA
Molecule: ribosomal RNA, 447 nt
Filed under: uncultured bacterium
Lineage: Bacteria
Description: partial 16S ribosomal RNA
Rfam family: Bacterial small subunit ribosomal RNA
Source: RNAcentral